This 459-nucleotide ribosomal RNA is filed under the name uncultured bacterium. RNAcentral's name for it is "partial 16S ribosomal RNA". It matches the Rfam family "Bacterial small subunit ribosomal RNA", at positions 338 to 794 of the family's 1533-position model. The record is from RNAcentral.
CCUACGGGUGGCAGCAGUUAUUAAUAUUUUUCCCUUUUCUCUCUCCUUCCCCCGCCCCGUCGCGUGCGGGAGGACGGCCCUACGGGUUGUAAACCUCUUUUGCCGGGGAGCAACGGGCGUCACGUGUGGCGCCACUGAGAGUACCCGGAGAAAAAGCAUCGGCUAACUCCGUGCCAGCAGCCGCGGUAAUACGGAGGAUGCGAGCGUUAUCCGGAUUUAUUGGGUUUAAAGGGUGCGUAGGCGGAUCGUUAAGUCAGUGGUCAAAUUGAGGGGCUCAACCCCUUCCCGCCAUUGAAACUGGCGCUCUUGAGUGGAAGAGAAGUAUGCGGAAUGCGUGGUGUAGCGGUGAAAUGCAUAGAUAUCACGCAGAACCCCGAUUGCGAAGGCAGCAUGCCGGCUUCCGACUGACGCUGAAGCACGAAAGCGUGGGGAUCGAACAGGAUUAGAUACCCGGGUAGU